RNAcentral lists this ribosomal RNA (259 nucleotides) under Pseudomonas synxantha. RNAcentral's name for it is "partial 16S ribosomal RNA". It matches the Rfam family "Bacterial small subunit ribosomal RNA", at positions 518 to 776 of the family's 1533-position model. Lineage: Bacteria; Pseudomonadati; Pseudomonadota; Gammaproteobacteria; Pseudomonadales; Pseudomonadaceae. The record is from RNAcentral.
CGGUAAUACAGAGGGUGCAAGCGUUAAUCGGAAUUACUGGGCGUAAAGCGCGCGUAGGUGGUUUGUUAAGUUGGAUGUGAAAUCCCCGGGCUCAACCUGGGAACUGCAUUCAAAACUGACUGACUAGAGUAUGGUAGAGGGUGGUGGAAUUUCCUGUGUAGCGGUGAAAUGCGUAGAUAUAGGAAGGAACACCAGUGGCGAAGGCGACCACCUGGACUGAUACUGACACUGAGGUGCGAAAGCGUGGGGAGCAAACAGG